RNAcentral lists this ribosomal RNA (492 nucleotides) under uncultured bacterium. Its description in RNAcentral is "partial 16S ribosomal RNA". It matches the Rfam family "Bacterial small subunit ribosomal RNA", at positions 29 to 507 of the family's 1533-position model. The record is from RNAcentral.
AGUGAACGCUGGCGGUAGGCCUAACACAUGCAAGUCGAACGGCAGCACAGUAAGAGCUUGCUCUUACGGGUGGCGAGUGGCGGACGGGUGAGGAAUACAUCGGAAUCUACUUUUUCGUGGGGGAUAACGUAGGGAAACUUACGCUAAUACCGCAUACGACCUACGGGUGAAAGCAGGGGAUCUUCGGACCUUGCGCGAUUGAAUGAGCCGAUGUCGGAUUAGCUAGUUGGCGGGGUAAAGGCCCACCAAGGCGACGAUCCGUAGCUGGUCUGAGAGGAUGAUCAGCCACACUGGAACUGAGACUCGUUCCAGACUCCUACGGGAGGCAGCAGUGGGGAAUAUUGGGCAAUGGGGGAAAGCCUGAUCCAGCCAUACCGCGUGAGUGAAGAAGGCCUUCGGGUUGUAAAGCCAUUUUGUUGGGAAAGAAAAGCAGCAGGUUAAUACCCCGCUGUUCUGACGGUACCCAAAGAAUAAGCACCGGCUAACUUCGUG